AGGUAUCUUCGGGGCAGGUGAAAUUCCUGACCGGCGGUUAAAGCCCGCGACUCUGCAUAGUUUUUAUGUGGACUGAUUUGGUGAAAAUCCAAAGCCGACGGUAUAGUCCGGAUGGGAGAAGAUCAAA
RNAcentral lists this non-coding RNA (127 nucleotides) under Shouchella lehensis G1. Its description in RNAcentral is "Bacillus lehensis G1 FMN riboswitch aptamer (RFN element)". It matches the Rfam family "FMN riboswitch aptamer (RFN element)". From Rfam's summary of the family: The RFN element is a highly conserved domain that is found frequently in the 5'-untranslated regions of prokaryotic mRNAs that encode for flavin mononucleotide (FMN) biosynthesis and transport proteins. This element is a metabolite-dependent riboswitch that directly binds FMN in the absence of proteins. Lineage: Bacteria; Bacillati; Bacillota; Bacilli; Caryophanales; Bacillaceae. The record is from Rfam by way of RNAcentral.